Molecule: non-coding RNA, 759 nt
Organism: Pelobates cultripes (western spadefoot toad)
Lineage: Eukaryota; Metazoa; Chordata; Amphibia; Anura; Pelobatidae
Source: the annotation of a GenBank genome assembly
AAACUACACAGAAUUGAAAUAAAAUAAAAUAAAAUAACUAGAGGUAUUUCAGCUUAAUAGCUUUAAUUUAAGCUUAACUUUAGCUGCCUGGAGUGCCCCUUUAAUGUGAGAAUUCUAGGUGAAUCCAAAGUGAACUACACAUUUAAGGUCAAAAUAGCCCAAACUGGAAAAAUUCAGCUAUGCUUUCCGUUUGGUUACUCUGAUUUUAAAUUUGAAAUUCAUGUUGAAUUCUCACUUUAGUAACUAACCUAACUAAAUCUAAAAAUGAAGUUUGGGUAUUGUACACAAUACAUGUGAGGAGGUGAGGGGUUGAUGUUAUGCUGAGGUGUGAUUCCCAUUAUUUUUGUAUUUUUAUGGAUUUAUAAUAAAGUGAAUUUCAUAUGGAUUUGAAUGAUGCUAUUUUAUAAACUAUGCUGUGAACAGAGGAGUCUUUCAGAAAUUUUACAAAUGUACAUGAUUGCAAAAUGUGGAUCACGUAAAUGAAUCUAUAAUCUGUAACCAGUACAUUUAUGCAGUGGGGGUCUGUAUUAUGUUUCCUUUCUUUUUAGUCUAUUAAGUAUUCAAGAAAUGAAAGCCACUUUAAAAUCAUGUUUCAAAUCUAAAUGAUACACUGCAAUAGAGAUAUACUCUGGGAAAAUAAAUAUCAGAAUUCAUCAUACCACUUUUGGCACCAUAACUCUUAAUAUUAUUAAAGAUGUUGUAAUGCACACAAACUGUCUCUGUAAUCUCAGCUAUUACAAAUGCAAUUUUUUUCUCUCG